CCAGACUCCUACGGGAGGCAGCAGUGAGGAAUAUUGGUCAAUGGGCGGAAGCCUGAACCAGCCAAGUCGCGUGAGGGAAGAAGGCCCUGCGGGUCGCAGACCUCUUUGGACGGGGAGCAAGGCCGCCGACGUGUCGGCGGAAGGAGAGUACCCGUAGAACAAGCAUCGGCUAACUCCGUGCCAGCAGCCGCGGUAAUACGGAGGAUGCGAGCGUUAUCCGGAAUUACUGGGUGUAAAGGGAGUGUAGGCGGGAAGGCAAGUCAGAAGUGAAAAUUAUGGGCUCAACCCAUAACCUGCUUUUGAAACUGUUUUUCUUGAGUGAAGCAGAGGCAAGCGGAAUUCCUAGUGUAGCGGUGAAAUGCGUAGAUAUUAGGAGGAACACCAGUGGCGAAGGCGGCUUGCUGGGCUUUUACUGACGCUGAGGCUCGAAAGCGUGGGGAGCAAACAGGAUUAGAUACCCGUGUA
This 465-nucleotide ribosomal RNA is filed under the name uncultured bacterium. RNAcentral describes it as "bacterial SSU rRNA". It matches the Rfam family "Bacterial small subunit ribosomal RNA", at positions 331 to 792 of the family's 1533-position model. The record is from RNAcentral.